AGUGAACGCUGGCGGCAGGCCUAAUACAUGCAAGUCGAACGGCAGCACAGUGGAGCUUGCUCCAUGGGUGGCGAGUGGCGGACGGGUGAGGAAUACAUGGGAAUCUGCCCAGUCGUGGGGGAUAACGUAUGGAAACGUACGCUAAUACCGCAUGCGCCCUUCGGGGAAAGUCGGGGACCGCAAGGCCUGACGCGAUUGGAUGAGCCCAUGUUCGAUUAGCUAGUUGGCGGGGUAACGGCCCACCAAGGCGACGAUCGAUAGCUGGUCUGAGAGGAUGAUCAGCCACACUGGAACUGAGACACGGUCCAGACUCCUACGGGAGGCAGCAGUAGGGAAUAUUGGACAAUGGGGGCAACCCUGAUCCAGCCAUGCCGCGUGAGUGAAGAAGGCCCUCGGGUCGUAAAGCUCUUUGUUGGGGAAGAAAAGCAGUUGGUUAAUACCCGAUUGUCUGACGGUACCCAAAGAAUAAGCACCGGCUAACUUCGUGCCAGCAGCCGCGGUAAUC
Molecule: ribosomal RNA, 505 nt
Filed under: uncultured bacterium
Lineage: Bacteria
Description: bacterial SSU rRNA
Rfam family: Bacterial small subunit ribosomal RNA
Source: RNAcentral